This is a long non-coding RNA of Aedes aegypti (yellow fever mosquito), 772 nucleotides long. RefSeq lists it as uncharacterized. Lineage: Eukaryota; Metazoa; Arthropoda; Insecta; Diptera; Culicidae. The record is from RefSeq and is a predicted model, not a curated record. The transcript is spliced from 2 exons.
UUUCGUCGGGUGCGUUACGACGUGUUACCAAAAGUUAUGUUGCUUUCGUCAAGUUUGUUACGACGUUUUGACAACCGAUGUGUUGCUUACGUCAGGAUGCAUACGUCAGCAUAAGCAUAAAACAACAGAUAGGACAGGUGGAAUAAUGAUGACAAAGAUCACGAAUACGGAUGUUUUACGAAGUUCUGUGUCACAAAACUUCUGCGGAUUUUGACAUUCACAAAACUAUGUUGCCGAUUUCAUCGAAUGCAAGCCCCCAGAAAAAGUGAGAGAGCAUAACCGGUAAAUGCAUUGAGGAUAUUGUGUGAAAAUGCUUUACCUGACAUUCUUGCCAAUUGACAGCAACAGCAAACGAACGUUGAAAUUAAUGUACAAAAUCGCCAGCCAAGAUUGCAGUUUCAUAACAUCGUUAUUAACUCUACGCCACCUCCAGCUCAUGGGCACCUUCUUUCUACCUCGCCGGCGACCAUCACUCACCUGGCCGUGCUCACUGUGCUCCCGAUUCUUAUACUGGCCGGAUUUGAGGCGACAACCAACUUUGCAAGCUUGUCCGGCAUUCUAGCAACAUGUAUCACCCAACGUAUCCUUCUAGCGUUUGUCAUUUUUGCAUGCUGGGUUCACCGUAGACUUAUAACUUGAUUAUAGGAGGAGUGAAAGCCUCUUUAAGCUUGCCAAAUAUUUUUAUAUAGAGUAAUUGUAACAUAGAAAAAACUACAAUCCAAUGAACAGUAGAUUUCUCAAUAAAUGUAAAAGAAACGGAAACAAAUGGAAA